GGAGACUUCGGUUUUAGUCAAUUCCAUAUCUCAAUCUUAAUGGUGAUUCUUCUCUGUUGAACUGAAGUUUGUGAGAGUAGUUUUCCUUUGCUACUUGAAUAGCAAUAAAAGCGUGUUAACUUUUUGAUUGAUGAAAGAAGUACAAAAAGCCUUUAGCCUUGAGGUGCCUUCUGAAAUUAACCAAAUUUCAUCCAUAUAUCCUCUUUUAUAAACUUAUAGAAUGUCAAACUUUGCCUUCAACUGUUUUUAUUUCUAGUCUCUUCCACUUUAAAACAAAAUGAACACUGCU
Molecule: long non-coding RNA, 289 nt
Filed under: Homo sapiens (human)
Lineage: Eukaryota; Metazoa; Chordata; Mammalia; Primates; Hominidae
Description: non-protein coding lnc-CCDC192-5:1
Source: RNAcentral